This 186-nucleotide ribosomal RNA is filed under the name Triticum aestivum (bread wheat). RNAcentral describes it as "partial small subunit ribosomal RNA". The record is from RNAcentral. Lineage: Eukaryota; Viridiplantae; Streptophyta; Magnoliopsida; Poales; Poaceae.
AACCGACAAGCCAAGGCAUCCCUCAUCAUGCUUGUGUCAUGGACAAUUUAGAACGAGCGUAACGCAAGAGUUUUCAAACAUAAGAGUGCUCCACCGACAAUCUUGCUCUCCUCCAUCUCUACUGAGGCCAACCUUUGGAUGGUCGCCGGUGCAAAAAAGUUAGGGUCUUUAAUUUUGCGAGAAUAA